RNAcentral lists this ribosomal RNA (511 nucleotides) under uncultured bacterium. Its description in RNAcentral is "partial 16S ribosomal RNA". It matches the Rfam family "Bacterial small subunit ribosomal RNA", at positions 355 to 858 of the family's 1533-position model. The record is from RNAcentral.
UGGGGAAUUUUGGACAAUGGGCGCAAGCCUGAUCCAGCCAUGCCGCGUGCGGGAAGAAGGCCUUCGGGUUGUAAACCGCUCUUGUCAGGGAAGAAAUCUUCUGAGUUAAUACCUCGGGAGGAUGACGGUACCUGAAGAAUAAGCACCGGCUAACUACGUGCCAGCAGCCGCGGUAAUACGUAGGGUGCAAGCGUUAAUCGGAAUUACUGGGCGUAAAGCGUGCGCAGGCGGUUUUGUAAGACAGAGGUGAAAUCCCCGGGCUCAACCUGGGAACUGCCUUUGUGACUGCAAGGCUUGAGUGCGGCAGAGGGGGGAUGGAAUUCCGCGUGUAGCAGUGAAAUGCGUAGAUAUGCGGAGGAACACCGAUGGCGAAGGCAAUCCCCUGGGCCUGCACUGACGCUCAUGCACGAAAGCGUGGGGAGCAAACAGGAUUAGAUACCCUGGUAGUCCACGCCCUAAACGAUGUCAACUGGUUGUUGGGAAGGUUCCUUCUCAGUAACGUAGCUAACGC